RNAcentral lists this unclassified non-coding RNA (376 nucleotides) under soil metagenome. RNAcentral describes it as "partial contains 5.8S ribosomal RNA, internal transcribed spacer 2, and large subunit ribosomal RNA". The stretch from base 1 to 120 matches the Rfam family "5.8S ribosomal RNA", at positions 35 to 154 of the family's 154-position model. The record is from RNAcentral.
GAUGAAGAACGCAGCGAAAUGCGAUAAGUAAUGUGAAUUGCAGAAUUCAGUGAAUCAUCGAAUCUUUGAACGCAUCUAGCGCUCCUUGGUAUUCUGAGGAGCAUGCCUGUUUGAGUGUCAUUAAAUUCUCAACUACACUGACUUUGAAUUGGUGUGGCUUGGAUUUGGGGGGAAAAUUGUUGUGGGCUUUUUGUAUAGUCUGCUCCCCUGAAAUUGAUUAGCGGUACCUUUGUGGAACUGUCUACAGGUGUGAUAAUUAUCUACAUCUUAGACAUCUGCUGGAAUGCUGCUUUCUAAACCUUACUUGUAUUGACAAUCUUGACCUCAAAUCAGGUAGGACUACCCGCUGAACUUAAGCAUAUCAAUAAGCGGAGGA